Molecule: ribosomal RNA, 253 nt
Filed under: uncultured bacterium
Lineage: Bacteria
Description: partial 16S ribosomal RNA
Rfam family: Bacterial small subunit ribosomal RNA
Source: RNAcentral
UACGAAGGGGGCUAGCGUUGCUCGGAAUCACUGGGCGUAAAGCGCACGUAGGCGGGUUGUUAAGUCGGGGGUGAAAUCCUGGAGCUCAACUCCAGAACUGCCUUCGAUACUGGCGACCUUGAGUCCGGGAGAGGUGAGUGGAACUCCGAGUGCAGAGGUGAAAUUCGUAGAUAUUCGGAAGAACACCAGUGGCGAAGGCGGCUCACUGGCCCGGUACUGACGCUGAGGUGCGAAAGCGUGGGGAGCAAACAGG